RNAcentral lists this ribosomal RNA (468 nucleotides) under uncultured bacterium. RNAcentral's name for it is "partial 16S ribosomal RNA". It matches the Rfam family "Bacterial small subunit ribosomal RNA", at positions 28 to 507 of the family's 1533-position model. The record is from RNAcentral.
GACGAACGCUGGCGGCGUGCUUAACACAUGCAAGUCGAACGGAAAGGCCCUGCUUUUGUGGGGUGCUCGAGUGGCGAACGGGUGAGUAACACGUGAGUAACCUGCCCUUGACUUUGGGAUAACUUCAGGAAACUGGGGCUAAUACCGGAUAGGAGCUCCUGCUGCAUGGUGGGGGUUGGAAAGUUUCGGCGGUUGGGGAUGGACUCGCGGCUUAUCAGCUUGUUGGUGGGGUAGUGGCUUACCAAGGCUUUGAUGGGUAGCCGGCCUGAGAGGGUGACCGGCCACAUUGGGACUGAGAUACGGCCCAGACUCCUACGGGAGGCAGCAGUGGGGAAUAUUGCACAAUGGGCGGAAGCCUGAUGCGGCAACGCCGCGUGCGGGAUGACGGCCUUCGGGUUGUAAACCGCUUUCGCCUGUGACGAAGCGUGAGUGACGGUAAUGGGUAAAGAAGCACCGGCUAACUACGUG